CAUGCCCCAGAGCGGCUUAUAUUUGCUGAGGGUUAGAUCUGUGUGCCUUCUAUCUACCUCUGGUCAUAGGUCAUAGCUUCGCUUACUAAUCGCAAAAUGUGUUUGUCACUGUUGUCCAUUCGGAUUGAGCUUUGGGAAGCGGCACAGCGGCAGCAUCCACUUUGCCAGUCCACUAUCAGCACCGGGAUGGAGCGGUUUGGCCCGCAGCUCACCCUGUUCGUGGCAGCGCUUGCCUGCGUGUUGGCACUCGACACUCCAACUAACCAGCCCAGCAUCUACCGGAAGUAUCUGCGCACGCGCAAACCCUCCCAGCCGGCCGAGCUGCACGUGGAGGAGGUGCUGGAGGUGUUCCGUACCGAGGCGCAACCUUCACGGUACGGCGUGGGCAACGCGCUGGUGAAUCGCUUCCUUGCCCGGCAGCUGCAGCUCCAGCUACAGGCCAGUACGUCAACGACGACGACGAGGAGGACCACUACGACAACGACGACGACGACAAAGCGUCCCGAGCCUACCACCUUCCGGACACCGGUGUACGAGAACCAGAACCCGAACUACAACUACCUGUUUCGGCCAUCGAUCACGGCGACCAAAUAUGGCGGGAAGCCGGCAGCGGGGACCAUCGUCAUCAAGGAGGCGGAUUUACUGUCAACGGCGGUGAACAAUACGUCGUCCAACACCUCUAAGUGUCCCAAACAUCAUAAAGAGGACAUAUGGGGGUACUGCCGAAAGGUGGUACAGUUCUGAUCGGUGCUGGCGCUGGUACGACCACGAGUGUCUUUGUUUAGUUUAGUGUGUGUAUAUAUGUUGGAUUCUGCGAUGUUUGCGUCCUCGACAAAACAAAGACAAAAAAGACAAAACAAACAGCAUCGUUGGACCAGUUCUUCCAAGACGCACGACGCAAGCUGGAGCUUAAAAAGCAGACCUACUUUAAACCCUAUUCGUCUAUAAGCCUCACGUUACUCCUAUCAACUGUUAUCAAUUUACGGCCCCGCAUGUCCAGUGCUUCUAAAUAAAAGCUACCAUCGUUCUAACUACUCUACGGCGUAUCUCGCUCACCUUGGAUCCAGCUCCAGGCCGUUUUGGGGCAUGUUUCCUAUCAUCAUCAUCGAUAAACGUUCCUCACACUCAAUCGUACUCUAUGGAACAAAUUUAAUUUAACUUAAGAACAAUUUCGGAUAAUUCUACCGAAGCAAACGUUGGCAGAAGGUCGUCGUCUCUUUCUUCAUCCCAUUGGGAAAGGGACAACGGUCUGGGAAAAGGAUAAAUUGAAAGAACGUCAGACCUUUUCUUGCGAUCGCAUCAACAGAUAAGAUAUUUUAGCCGCUGCGAAUAAAAUUCACGUGUGCAAGAAA
Anopheles merus is the source of this 1352-nucleotide RNA transcript. RefSeq lists it as uncharacterized. The transcript has 2 exons. NCBI's taxonomy places the organism in Eukaryota, Metazoa, Arthropoda, Insecta, Diptera, Culicidae. The record is from RefSeq and is a predicted model, not a curated record.